UGAAGAUCAUCGUGCCUCAGCCUCCUGAGUGCUGGAUUACAGAGCAUCACCAAGGAGCUUAGUUACUGAGGACCACACUGAUUGCUACACCACAUGCUGCAUGAAGUGAUUCUCUGGACUGGACAUCAACAGCACUGAAGAGCACAUCUCAAGCUCUGUUCCCAAGGGACCUUACAGCGCCAGCGCAGAGGACAGUGUCUCAGUCUCCGUCUCUGAGAAAUUGGACAGCUACAGCUCUGAGGACAGCAUCGCGAUCUCCUUCUCCGUUGGACUGUACAGCAGCAGUGCCCAGGACAACCGCACGCUCUCCAUCUCCCAGGGACUGGGCAGCAACAGCAAGGACUGAGAGAGAAAUUAGUGAAACCACACCAUUCAGAAUAGCAUCUAAAAAUACUUGAAAUACUUAGGAAUCAA
Long non-coding RNA from Chinchilla lanigera (long-tailed chinchilla), 414 nucleotides. RefSeq lists it as uncharacterized. Lineage: Eukaryota; Metazoa; Chordata; Mammalia; Rodentia; Chinchillidae. The record is from RefSeq and is a predicted model, not a curated record. The transcript is spliced from 3 exons.